RNAcentral lists this transfer RNA (73 nucleotides) under Dipodomys ordii (Ord's kangaroo rat). It matches the Rfam family "tRNA". From Rfam's summary of the family: Transfer RNA (tRNA) molecules are approximately 80 nucleotides in length. Their secondary structure includes four short double-helical elements and three loops (D, anti-codon, and T loops). Further hydrogen bonds mediate the characteristic L-shaped molecular structure. tRNAs have two regions of fundamental functional importance: the anti-codon, which is responsible for specific mRNA codon recognition, and the 3' end, to which the tRNAs corresponding amino acid is attached (by aminoacyl-tRNA synthetases). tRNAs cope with the degeneracy of the genetic code in two manners: having more than one tRNA (with a specific anti-codon) for a particular amino acid; and 'wobble' base-pairing, i.e. permitting non-standard base-pairing at the 3rd anti-codon position. The record is from Rfam by way of RNAcentral. Lineage: Eukaryota; Metazoa; Chordata; Mammalia; Rodentia; Heteromyidae.
GGAAGAAUGGCUCAAGUGGUAGAGUGCCUGCUCAGCAAGCACAAGGCCCUGAGUUCGAGCCUCAGUACUGCCC